UAAGGAAUAUUGGUCAAUGGAGGCAACUCUGAACCAGCCAUGCCGCGUGCAGGAAGACGGCCCUCUGGGUUGUAAACUGCUUUUAUUCGGGAAUAAACCUAUCUACGUGUAGAUAGCUGAAUGUACCGAAGGAAUAAGGAUCGGCUAACUCCGUGCCAGCAGCCGCGGUAAUACGGAGGAUCCAAGCGUUAUCCGGAUUUAUUGGGUUUAAAGGGUGCGUAGGCGGCCUAUUAAGUCAGGGGUGAAAGACGGUAGCUCAACUAUCGCAGUGCCCUUGAUACUGAUGAGCUUGAAUGAACUAGUGGUAGACUGAAUGUGACAAGUAGCGGUGGAAUGCAUAGAUAUGUCACAGAACACCGAUUGCGAAGGCAGCUUACUAUGGUUUUAUUGACGCUGAGGCACGAAAGCGUGGGGAUCAAACA
RNAcentral lists this ribosomal RNA (422 nucleotides) under uncultured bacterium. RNAcentral's name for it is "bacterial SSU rRNA". It matches the Rfam family "Bacterial small subunit ribosomal RNA", at positions 355 to 774 of the family's 1533-position model. The record is from RNAcentral.